GUCCAGACUCCUACGGGAGGCAGCAGUGGGGAAUAUUGCACAAUGGGGGAAACCCUGAUGCAGCGACGCCGCGUGAGCGAUGAAGUAUUUCGGUAUGUAAAGCUCUAUCAGCAGGGAAGAAAAUGACGGUACCUGACUAAGAAGCCCCGGCUAACUACGUGCCAGCAGCCGCGGUAAUACGUAGGGGGCAAGCGUUAUCCGGAUUUACUGGGUGUAAAGGGAGCGUAGACGGCAAUGCAAGCCAGAUGUGAAAGCCCGGGGCUCAACCCCGGGACUGCAUUUGGAACUGUGUAGCUGGAGUGUCGGAGAGGCAGGCGGAAUUCCUAGUGCAGCGGUGAAAUGCGUAGAUAUCAGGAGGAACACCGGUGGCGAAGGCGGCCUGCUGGACUGCAACUGACGUUGAGGCCCGAAAGCGUGGGGAGCAAACAGGAUUAGAUACCCCGGUAAC
Molecule: ribosomal RNA, 448 nt
Filed under: uncultured bacterium
Lineage: Bacteria
Description: partial 16S ribosomal RNA
Rfam family: Bacterial small subunit ribosomal RNA
Source: RNAcentral